This 880-nucleotide long non-coding RNA is filed under the name Zostera marina. RNAcentral's name for it is "long non-coding RNA (ZMAR_LNC004795)". The record is from RNAcentral. Lineage: Eukaryota; Viridiplantae; Streptophyta; Magnoliopsida; Alismatales; Zosteraceae.
AACACUCCACUCAUCCUUCUCCAAAUUAGCUUCUCUCAAUCCCUUUUCCUCACUCUUUUAGCAGCAUAUCAUGGGGAUCAAGCUCUAUGGAGUCGCCAUGUCAACGGCCACACAAAGAGCACUUGCUUGUCUGUACGAGAAGGAGGCAGAUUUCGAAUUCGUCACCGUCGACAUGAAAUCCGGGGAGCACAAGAAUGAACUUUUCCUUAAAAAGAACGUACGUAUGAGUUGUGUUACAUAUAAUAUUUAUUGGGCUUGAUUGAUGAAUCAUUGCGGAAUGAAAAUUAAUGGAUAUAUAUCUCUUUUGUAUGUGUGCAGCCAUUCGGUCAGGUACCGGCAAUGGAAGACGGCGAAAUCACCUUAUUCGAAUCCAGAGCUAUAUCACAAUUCGUAGCACACACCUUCAUGGCACAGGGAACACAAUUCAUCUUCCCUCAAGAUAAGAAGAAGAUGUCCGGAAUUGCCCCAUGGAUGGAGGUGGAAUCAACCAAGUUCGACCCAAUUGCCUCGAAGCUCGUGUACGAGUGCAUGUACAAACCCAUGUUCGGCAGGGGUACCCCCGACGAGGCUGUCGUUGCUCAGCUUGAAGAAGAUCUUUGCAAGGUGUUGGAUGUGUACGAAGCUAGACUAGGCGAGUGUGCUUAUUUGAGCGGUGACGAUUUCGGCCUCCCUGACCUUCACCAUCUACCGACGAUUAACUGCAUCAUGAAGAUUGAUUCCAAGAAGAUCAUUGAGGCUCGCCCAAAUGUCAGCAAGUGGGCUGCUACCAUUCUAGCUCGUCCUUCUUGGACAAAGGUUUUGGCCCAGAAUUAAUUCACGCAACUUCAAAGUCAAAACAUAUCAGUUUGGUCGGUAAUUAGUAGUAAAUAAGUUCCGACGU